RNAcentral lists this ribosomal RNA (253 nucleotides) under uncultured bacterium. Its description in RNAcentral is "partial 16S ribosomal RNA". It matches the Rfam family "Bacterial small subunit ribosomal RNA", at positions 524 to 776 of the family's 1533-position model. The record is from RNAcentral.
UGCGGAGGGUGCAAGCGUUAUCCGGAUUCACUGGGUUUAAAGGGUGCGUAGGUGGGCAGGUAAGUCAGUGGUGAAAUCUCCGGGCUUAACCCGGAAACUGCCAUUGAUACUAUCUGUCUUGAAUACCGUGGAGGUGAGCGGAAUAUGUCAUGUAGCGGUGAAAUGCUUAGAUAUGACAUAGAACACCAAUUGCGAAGGCAGCUCACUACACGAAUAUUGACACUGAGGCACGAAAGCGUGGGGAUCAAACAGG